RNAcentral lists this unclassified non-coding RNA (203 nucleotides) under uncultured Sebacina. RNAcentral's name for it is "sequence contains ITS2". Lineage: Eukaryota; Fungi; Basidiomycota; Agaricomycetes; Sebacinales; Sebacinaceae. The record is from RNAcentral.
UACUCUCACACUCUAUGAUCCUUUGGAUUCAGGAGUGGUGGACUUGGGUGUUUGCUGCUUUCCUUGUGGCUCACCUCAAAUGUGUCAGUGCACCUCUUGGUUGGACAUAGUACGGCGUGAUAAGUGUCUUCGCCGGCACCUUGCAAGAGGGUGGCCAACUGGGGGCUCUGUGCUUUCAAACCGUCAUUUGACAAUCUCUGACA